AACGCUAGCUACAGGCUUAACACAUGCAAGUCGAGGGGCAGCACUAGGUAGCAAUACUGAGGUGGCGACCGGCGCACGGGUGCGCAACGCGUAUCCAACCUUCCCGUUACUCUUGGAUAGCCUUCCGAAAGGGAGAUUAAUACAAGAUGGUAUCUGAAAUUCGCAUGUUCUUCAGAUUAAAGAUUUAUCGGUAACGGAUGGGGAUGCGUGACAGUAGAUAGAUGGCGGGGUAACGGCCCACCUAGUCUACGAUGGAUAGGGGUUCUGAGAGGAAGGUCCCCCACACUGGAACUGAGACACGGUCCAGACUCCUACGGGAGGCAGCAGUGAGGAAUAUUGGUCAAUGGGCGAGAGCCUGAACCAGCCAAGUAGCGUGCAGGAUGACGGCCCUAUGGGUUGUAAACUGCUUUUAUGCGGGAAUAAGAUCAGAUACGUGUAUCUGCGUGCAUGUACCGCAUGAAUAAGGACCGGCUAAUUCCGUGCCAGCAGCCGCGGUAAUACGGAAGGUCCGGGCGUUAUCCGGAUUUAUUGGGUUUAAAGGGAGCGUAGGCGGCCCUUUAAGCGUGCUGUGAAAUGUACCGGCUCAACCGGUGAAUUGCAGCGCGGACUGGAGGGCUUGAGUUCACGGAAGGCAGGCGGAAUUCGUGGUGUAGCGGUGAAAUGCUUAGAUAUCACGAAGAACUCCGAUUG
This 690-nucleotide ribosomal RNA is filed under the name uncultured Bacteroidales bacterium. Its description in RNAcentral is "bacterial SSU rRNA". It matches the Rfam family "Bacterial small subunit ribosomal RNA", at positions 32 to 715 of the family's 1533-position model. The record is from RNAcentral. Lineage: Bacteria; Pseudomonadati; Bacteroidota; Bacteroidia; Bacteroidales.